This 254-nucleotide ribosomal RNA is filed under the name uncultured bacterium. RNAcentral's name for it is "partial 16S ribosomal RNA". It matches the Rfam family "Bacterial small subunit ribosomal RNA", at positions 524 to 776 of the family's 1533-position model. The record is from RNAcentral.
GACAGAGGGUGCAAACGUUGUUCGGAAUUACUGGGCGUAAAGCGUGUGUAGGCGGCUUUGCAAGUCGGAUGUGAAAGCCCCGGGCUCAACCCGGGAAGUGCACUCGAUACUGCAGAGCUUGAGUGUCGGAGAGGUUGGUGGAAUUCUCGGUGUAGAGGUGAAAUUCGUAGAUAUCGAGAGGAACACCGGCGGCGAAGGCGGCCAACUGGACGAACACUGACGCUGAGGCACGGAAAGCGUGGGGAGCAAACAGG